ACACUAACAGCCUGCAAAAGAGUCCAAUGAAGUCUUGCGUCAGUGUGAUUACAUGUUAUGUGGAAUAUACGGUUGAUGUCAACUCCCCAAAACCAUAAAACUUACUUUAAUGGCACCACGUGACUGUUUAUAGCCAGUGAGCCUAUCUGUCUCUGCUAUGGAUGAUUUUACGAUCUAAUUUAUAGACAAAACCCCGUUCAUUUACCACCCAAAUGUCAUAUAGCCGGAACUGGGGCUAACAAAGUUUACUGCUUUAAACUUUAAAAGGAGUUCAGCAUGUAGCCAGUUAGGGUACAGAUGCAGAUCCCCUAUUGCUGUUUAGUGACAAGGAGUCUUUAACCAGCCAAGCUAUGGGUAUGAAUGUAUUUUGAAGACGCAUACUCAGAUGAGACCAAAGAUGAUGGUAUCCGGGCAGCAGUGUGGAGUAGUGGUUAGGGCUCUGGACUCUUGACUGGAGGGUUGUGGGUUCAAUCCCCAGUGGGGGACACUGCUGUUGUACCCUUGAGCAAGGUACUUUACCUAGAUUGCUCCAGUAAAAACCCAACUGUAUAAAUGGGUAAUUGUAUGUAAAAAUAAUGUGAUAUCUGUAUAAUGUGCUAUCUUGUAACAAUUGUAAGCCGCCCUGGAUAAGGGCGUCUGCUAAGAAAUAAAUAAUAAUAAUAAUAAUAAUACACAAGUAUGCGAAGGAGGCCUCGCGCUUUAGGUGGUCAAUUCUAUUGUGCUGUGGAAUGUCUGGGCCAGUGUUUGUUUACAAAAAUCUAAUAGGCCCGAUUUUUGUAUUAUUAUGUUAUGUUAUAUAAGUCUCGAGGCAUGUUAUUUAACGUACUAUAUAUUAACCGAUUUUCGUAAUGUAAUUUGAUUUAGAAUAUUGUUUGCCUUGAAGCAUGCAAAUAAGAACAAAAAAGGAAUGCCGUUGACUUAAGAUGGAAAUUAAAUUUGUAUCUAUCGUAAUGUGAUUCACGUUGCUGCUAUUCUUACAGAACAACGUGUAUUAUAUAAUGAGCUUACUUGUAGUUUCAAUUCUUAUUAUUAUAUAAAAAAAAGGGGGUAAAAGGAAAAUAAACCAGUUUUCAAAUAUGGAAGCCCCUUGGUCUAAUAUGGGGAUUGUUCUUAGAAGUCAUACGUCACACGAAAAGUCUUAAACAUCAGUAUAAACAGGGCUUUUAAUAAAAUACCACGGUAUUUAACAAAACAUACCUGUUUAUCAUCAAAGUUCACACAGAAACGUAGCCAAAAUGAUUCUUACUUUUAAUAUAGAGGGAUAUAUGUUUAUUUCUGCUGUUGAUUUAUUCAAACUUUGUAUUUUGUUUGAUCAGGUUAAUUCAAGUAUUAGCCAAUAAGUGUUCAUCUUUUCAAUAUUUGUGUUUGCCGUUAUUUUAGAAUUGUAUAGGCUGCGUUUUUAUUGUUGUAUUUAAUCAUUACAAAAACUAGCAAACAUAAUAUUUUGUUAUUAAAUGUAAGUAUAUUUUGAAAAUAUAGUGUGUUAUUAAAUGAAAUUAUAUUUUUAUAA
This is a long non-coding RNA of Acipenser ruthenus (sterlet), 1510 nucleotides long. RefSeq lists it as uncharacterized. NCBI's taxonomy places the organism in Eukaryota, Metazoa, Chordata, Actinopteri, Acipenseriformes, Acipenseridae. The record is from RefSeq and is a predicted model, not a curated record. The transcript has 2 exons.